This is a long non-coding RNA of Rhincodon typus (whale shark), 1679 nucleotides long. RefSeq lists it as uncharacterized. The record is from RefSeq and is a predicted model, not a curated record. The transcript has 2 exons. NCBI's taxonomy places the organism in Eukaryota, Metazoa, Chordata, Chondrichthyes, Orectolobiformes, Rhincodontidae.
GAUAAUGGCAUUAAGACUUCGAAGGAAAAGAAAUGAAGCCAUUUUUCCUUAAGGGGGAGGUGUUGUGAAGUUGCAAAGUAUUUGUGAAUUGAAAGACAGGAAGCUAGAACGUGUUUGCAAAACUAAUAGGGGGAAAGAGUGCGUAGUCCCUUUAAGUGGUGAGGUGUUUUUGUGCUUGGAGAUUUUUACUAUGUAUGUCUGUGAGCAGCAGCCGGAGGUUGUACAGAUAGGCCCAAAAUUGAAACAAGUCUAUCAAAAGGCCUUGCAGUUGGCAGGCAAAACAGCAGUUUUGUUUUGGUAUCUGGACACCAAGUUUGAAUUCAGUCAAUCAUUUUGAACCAGGGCCUGAGCUACCAAAAACCAAUUGAAUUUAAAUCUGAUGGUGUUGACAACAUUGAACCUCAGUAAGAAUUGCUAUUAUAUCAUUACGGUAUAAAGAUGAGGGCAUUUGGAAAUUUGGAAGAGAGCCAACUGCCAUCUGAGGGGAGAGCCAAACUUCAGCUGCAGCGAAAGCAAGACCACCAUCUGAAAUACAAACCUGGCUUUCACUAAAAAGUUGUUGAGCUCUCUGAGAAGACCCAUCAAAGAUAACACAGCUGGAGGAACACAGCAGGCCAGGCAGCAUCAGAGGAGCAGAAAAGCUGACGUUUCAGGUCGUGACCCUUCUUCAGAAAUUAUUUCUCAUUAUUUGUAAAGUGGAGAUCAGGGAUUUUCUUUCUUCUAACCACUCUUCUAACAGAUUACAAGGGUAAAGGUGAGCUUCUCUGGGUGUUUCAGGGGUAAUUAUUAAAAGGGAACCUCUAUUCUACAGGUUGCAUUUUGGUUUAACUAUCAGAGACGUUCGGCCAUGCCCCCUCCAUUACACCGUCCACUGUCUCAGAUGUAUCUUCAGUUCCCUUGGCAGAACAAGGUGACCAACUUGGAGGUUCUGCUGUCUGCUCAUUCCAUCAGCAUAUUCUCAUUGCUAAGGUGUCUGCACUGGUUCAUUAUUUGCCCAAAGACUCUGUGCAGUGAACUGCUCAAUGAGUCAAAGACUCCUGGGCAUUCAGAGCCCAGCUAGGAGGACACCCAUGAGCAAGAUAUGUCCUUCGAUCAUUGACACUGAAAACUGGGAGACAGUCGCUGACAGCCAUGAUCUUUGGAUAUUUCCCAAUCAAUCUGUUCAGAGAUGUUAUUAAACACCUCUGGAGCUGGUGGGGCUUGAGAAUUUGGGCCUCCUAUCUCAGAGGAAGGUUCACUACCAUGAUCAUUGGAAGCUGCUGUUUUGGAGGAGCUUGGGAAGAGGCUCACAGAGAGAAGAGGGUCCAGGGAAAUCAAAAUCCAUGGAAUCCUGCACCUUCUCAAACCAUUACCUUCCUCGAGAAUAAAAAAGCCAGAGACUGCAAUGCUCUUGAGCCACCCCAGGAGAUGUUUUACACAUUGUUGUGUUGACCAGCACAGUGCAAUCCAUCGUCUUCCGUGACACAAGACUGCCACUGAGCCCCCUUGUUAUUUGGUCCAGGUAGAAGUUAAGGCUUGAAGUGCGAGUAAGAAAUUCUCUCCCUCUUUCCCUGUCAAUAUUCCUCCCCCAUUCCACUCCUGAUGAAAAGGUGGCCAUUCUGAGAUGUUGCUGUACACAAAAUGAAUGCUCUACUGACCUAUGCAACAGCCAUCAGGGAAGUAAAUUACUCCAUGUAGCA